AGAGUUUGAUCAUGGCUCAGAAUCAACGCUGGCGGCGUGCCUAACACAUGCAAGUCGAACGCGAAAGGGACUUCGGUCCUGAGCAGAGUGGCGAACGGGUGAGUAACGCGUGGGUGACCUACCCUCGAGUGGGGGAUAACGUUCCGAAAGGGACGCUAAUACCGCAUGACAUUCCUGGUUUGAACACCGGGAAAUCAAAGCCGGGGACCGCAAGGCCUGGCGCUUGAGGAGGGGCCCGCGUCUGAUUAGCUAGUUGGCGGGGUAACGGCCCACCAAGGCGACGAUCAGUAGCCGGCCUGAGAGGGCGGACGGCCACACUGGGACUGAGACACGGCCCAGACUCCUACGGGAGGCAGCAGUGGGGAAUUGUUCGCAAUGGGCGCAAGCCUGACGACGCAACGCCGCGUGGAGGAUGAAGGUCUUCGGAUUGUAAACUCCUGUUGAUCGGGACGAAAAGCUUCGACCUAAUACGUCGGAGACUGACGGUACCGGUUGAGGAAGCCACGGCUAACUCUGUGCCAGCAGCCGCGGUAAUACAGAGGUGGCAAGCGUUGUUCGGAAUUACUGGGCGUAAAGGGCGCGUAGGCGGCCUUUCUAAGUCGGACGUGAAAGCCCCAGGCUUAACCUGGGAACUGCGUCCGAUACUGGGAGGCUUGGAUUCGGGAGAGGGAUGCGGAAUUCCAGGUGUAGCGGUGAAAUG
This 700-nucleotide ribosomal RNA is filed under the name uncultured bacterium. Its description in RNAcentral is "bacterial SSU rRNA". It matches the Rfam family "Bacterial small subunit ribosomal RNA", at positions 8 to 688 of the family's 1533-position model. The record is from RNAcentral.